GACUCCGUAGCUCAGUUGGUAGAGCAACUGACUCUUAAUCAGUGGGUCGAGAGUUCGAGCCUCUCCGGGGUCACCC
This 76-nucleotide transfer RNA is filed under the name Porphyromonas macacae. RNAcentral's name for it is "tRNA-Lys". It matches the Rfam family "tRNA". Rfam says of the family: Transfer RNA (tRNA) molecules are approximately 80 nucleotides in length. Lineage: Bacteria; Pseudomonadati; Bacteroidota; Bacteroidia; Bacteroidales; Porphyromonadaceae. The record is from RNAcentral.